GCAGCUCAGAGGAAACAUUUGUGGAAACCAUCUCUCACUUUAAUGUAGUCACGCUGGUCUGCUUCAGUGACCUUCAAGCCUCUCAAAACGACAUCUGCUUCG
Molecule: long non-coding RNA, 102 nt
Organism: Syngnathus acus (greater pipefish)
Lineage: Eukaryota; Metazoa; Chordata; Actinopteri; Syngnathiformes; Syngnathidae
Exons: 3
Source: RefSeq, a predicted model, not a curated record